Molecule: long non-coding RNA, 3011 nt
Organism: Oreochromis aureus
Lineage: Eukaryota; Metazoa; Chordata; Actinopteri; Cichliformes; Cichlidae
Source: Ensembl
GUUUCAAAACUGAGUGAGACUUCAUUUAAAAUGUAAUUUCCUUUCUAGUGGACGUUAAACCUGUAAAUCCUGAACCAUGAAAUCAUUGCUCGAUAAUUCAAAUUUUAUUGGUCCAACGCAUCAAACGUGACUCCAACGUCACUUCCGUACGAGACGUUGCAUCCUGUAAGUGUGGAGUUUGACCGAGCGGCUGAACGACAGAUCGGUUCUAACAGUCAGUGACUUUCAGCUUUAUUUAAACCUUAAAUUUAAUCUUGUGUCGUCAGAUUUAAACUCAGGUUCAGUUAUUGAGUGAAAAUACCAACAGACUCAGACAUUUAGGACAAACUAAGAGUCAGAUGAGCAGAAACAGAGAACACGGACAUGUCUGCUGUAACUGCGUCACUCUGCUCCACUUUGCUGAUGUUCGAUGGAGUCUUCAUGUUUGUCUCUGCAGAUUUUCCACCCUGAUGACCACAGAGGCCUUUGAGGCUUCCAGACGUCCUUCACAACAACAACCAGGAAAUCAUCACAGCUGAGUCUGGACAGAACGUCACUCUGACAUGUCGAGCUUCAAACAACAUUAUAGCAGUAAACUGGAGCAGAGCUGACCUGGGAACAAAAUAUGUCCUUUUUACCGGAUGAGCGUUUUUUCCAGACGACCAGCAUCCAUCUUUCAAGAACCGGGUGGAUCUGCAGGACAGACAGAUGAAAGAUGGAGACGUGUCUCUGAUUCUGAAGAAUGUGACGAUUAAUGACACUGGAACAUACGAGUGUCGUGUUGCCCAAAAAGAACCAAACCAAGAGAGACCCAGUUUGAAGCUCAUCAGCAGCAUCUACCUUCAUGUUGUUCCUCCAGGUGAGUGAGUAGAGUUGAGUGUGUGUGUGAUCAGAGGUGAAGCUGCUUCCUGGUUGUUGAUGUUUGUUUCUAAAGAUGUUGUUGAUGAGACUUUGUAGAAAGCAGCUGGUCUGAGUGAUGUGAUCAGAGUGCAGUAGAUAAUGUCUGACAGCAGUUUGAAGAGGAAAUGGAUUCUGUUCUGUUCUUCACUCAUCACCUACCUGACAGCUGACACCUCACACCUGUUUCUCACCUGCAGGUCAGACAGGAGGAUCUGUUGGACUGAUCGUCGGUCUGUCAUUUCUUGCUGUGCUUCUUGUUGCUGGUGUUGCUGGAUUUUUGGUCUGUAGAAAACAUAAACAACCGUGAGUCAGGAUCCGUAACAGCCUCCUGCUGAACUGCAGUUUGAAAUGUGAGUUCUUUACAGCUGAACUCCUGGAGUCUGAGUCUCCUGAUGAGCCAGACUUCAUUUAUUGUUAUUAAACAUUCAGAAGAUGAUCUGAGGACAGACACUAGUCGCCUGUCGGUGAUUUGAAGUUACUGUUUUUGUUUGUUUGUUUGCUUUGUGUGCAUCAGUAUUAGUUAUUAGUUUGUUUUAGUUUCCAGGUUAGUCGCUCAUCUCAGUGGAAGAGUUUAUGUCCUUAAACAGUGUUAUUUACACUUUUGCCUUAUUUCUAUGUGGAACAUUCAGGACUUCCUCAUUCAAACAAAGAAAGUUUGUUCACAGUGAUGAGUUCAGUGUUGUCUCUGUCACAAUAUCAGAAUCAGUGAGUUUGUUUCAUCUUCAGGUUCAGCUGUUUGUAAGGUCAGACUCACAGACUGAUUCUCAUGUUUAGAUGUUACACAAUAAUUACAGACACUGACUGACAACACAAACACAACACAAAGUGCUCAGGGUCCAUUUAUCAGCCAGAACUGAGUGACUGAAUAAUCUGAUAUUAUUAUGAAACCAAAGAGAAAUGUGUUACAUGGAGCUGCAGAGUCACAUGUUUCCUCCUCUGAUCUAUGAAGCCUUAACUUGUUCCUUCAAGAAGGAGACUCUUCAGUUUAAACACGUCAAGAUUAUUUUUUUAUUUACGAUUUAUAUCAGUUUGUUUAUCGAAAAAGUUUAAACGUGUUACUCUUGAAUGUUUUUCUUUGCUUCCUGUAAACAUUUCCUGACCUCCUGUUUAAAUGUGUGCAGAUUUGAUCUUGAAUGUAACAAUGUGAACAUUUAUAUACUAGAGAUGGACCGAUCCGAUAUUAGGUAUCGGUCCGAUACUGACGUAAAUUACUGGAUCGGAUAUCGGCGAGAAAUAAAAAAUGUAAUCCGAUCCAUUAAAUAUCAAAAAAGCACCUCACAAAACUUGCGACACGACGUAACUCAGCUCAUAACCGUAGCACGUCGGAGCAGUAUGCAUCACGUGAUAGAGUGGCUGUGUGUAUUUGUAGCCUCGCUAGCAAACCAGCAUUUCCAUCUCCGAGGAAGUUAUCCCAGAGAGAAGUAAAGCAAGUGUGUAAGUUCAUCUCUGAAUGUUUGUAAAGCGUACCUGCGUUAAGCUUAACCACCGAUAUAUGGAGCGACUGCCUCUUCUCUCUCUCUCCCUCUCCUGCCGCUACUUCAUGAAACUCCUUAAUGAUCAGCUGAUCGGCUUUUCUGUCAGGAGUCCGUCUCUUCUUUGUUUUUUUGGCCCACUUUGCACCACAAGGAGGAAAACAGCAGCUGAACAACAGCAGCGCGUUUAAGCUUGAUAAACUGUUGUUAGAAUUUAUUUAAUAUUACUUUCUACACCAGGAUCCUUUUCUAGUAGCUGACGGCUGGUAACUGUGCAGGGGCGGAUCUAGCAAAGCUUAGCCAGGGGGCCCGAUAGGGCAUUAACAGGGAAAAGGGGGCACAAAGACAUACUUUUCUUUCUUAUUCUCAUUUAAAAUGUGUAGCUUUUAAUAAAUAAUUAUCUGACUCUUACACCCAAAGUUUUAAUCUGAUGUAAAAUGUAUAGAAGUCCAUUACUGUAUAUAGUAACUGUUAAGUCUAAUAUACCCUAGUAAGCUAUAGUACUUUUUCCUUUGGGAAGGUACCAUCUGUGCAGUCUGCAAUUCUGUAGAAGAAAGAUGUUGAAUCUAUUUAAUUAUUCUUGAAAAAUAAUUUAUUUCUGUGCAUUUUUUUUUCACACUGCAUCAAAUUAAAGUUGAUUAUGUCGAUUAAGCAUCAUGA